AAAGGAAGGCCGAGUACAUUCAUCACCUUCACUCGACCUAUCACUCUACCAACAUGGCCGAGUAACACCAUCAUCAUUCACUCGACCAAUCACUCUACCAACAGGCCGAGUAACUCCAUCAUCAUUCACUCGACCAAUCACUCGACCAACUACUCUACCACACGGUCGAGUACAUUCAUCACCUUCACUCGAUCACUCUACCACCGAGCCGAGUACCAUCAUCUCUAUCACUCGACUAAAUACUCGACUGCCAGCUUCAGAGUCUUCUUCAUUCCGCACUCAACCAGACACUCGAGCACAAGGAAGAAAAGAAGACUCCAGCUUAUCACUCGACCUCUCACUCGACCACCUGGCUCGAGUACAGUUCUUAAUCCGUCCCAAUACUGCGUCGUUUUGAGUAUUAGGGUUUUGGAAUAUUUUGCUAUAAGUAGCAUGUACUUUACAUUUUCGAGAACAAGUU
This 460-nucleotide small RNA is filed under the name Arabidopsis thaliana (thale cress). RNAcentral describes it as "ATSL032260". Lineage: Eukaryota; Viridiplantae; Streptophyta; Magnoliopsida; Brassicales; Brassicaceae. The record is from RNAcentral.